RNAcentral lists this ribosomal RNA (1392 nucleotides) under Lactiplantibacillus plantarum. RNAcentral's name for it is "bacterial SSU rRNA". It matches the Rfam family "Bacterial small subunit ribosomal RNA", at positions 67 to 1431 of the family's 1533-position model. Lineage: Bacteria; Bacillati; Bacillota; Bacilli; Lactobacillales; Lactobacillaceae. The record is from RNAcentral.
CUGGUAUUGAUUGGUGCUUGCAUCAUGAUUUACAUUUGAGUGAGUGGCGAACUGGUGAGUAACACGUGGGAAACCUGCCCAGAAGCGGGGGAUAACACCUGGAAACAGAUGCUAAUACCGCAUAACAACUUGGACCGCAUGGUCCGAGCUUGAAAGAUGGCUUCGGCUAUCACUUUUGGAUGGUCCCGCGGCGUAUUAGCUAGAUGGUGGGGUAACGGCUCACCAUGGCAAUGAUACGUAGCCGACCUGAGAGGGUAAUCGGCCACAUUGGGACUGAGACACGGCCCAAACUCCUACGGGAGGCAGCAGUAGGGAAUCUUCCACAAUGGACGAAAGUCUGAUGGAGCAACGCCGCGUGAGUGAAGAAGGGUUUCGGCUCGUAAAACUCUGUUGUUAAAGAAGAACAUAUCUGAGAGUAACUGUUCAGGUAUUGACGGUAUUUAACCAGAAAGCCACGGCUAACUACGUGCCAGCAGCCGCGGUAAUACGUAGGUGGCAAGCGUUGUCCGGAUUUAUUGGGCGUAAAGCGAGCGCAGGCGGUUUUUUAAGUCUGAUGUGAAAGCCUUCGGCUCAACCGAAGAAGUGCAUCGGAAACUGGGAAACUUGAGUGCAGAAGAGGACAGUGGAACUCCAUGUGUAGCGGUGAAAUGCGUAGAUAUAUGGAAGAACACCAGUGGCGAAGGCGGCUGUCUGGUCUGUAACUGACGCUGAGGCUCGAAAGUAUGGGUAGCAAACAGGAUUAGAUACCCUGGUAGUCCAUACCGUAAACGAUGAAUGCUAAGUGUUGGAGGGUUUCCGCCCUUCAGUGCUGCAGCUAACGCAUUAAGCAUUCCGCCUGGGGAGUACGGCCGCAAGGCUGAAACUCAAAGGAAUUGACGGGGGCCCGCACAAGCGGUGGAGCAUGUGGUUUAAUUCGAAGCUACGCGAAGAACCUUACCAGGUCUUGACAUACUAUGCAAAUCUAAGAGAUUAGACGUUCCCUUCGGGGACAUGGAUACAGGUGGUGCAUGGUUGUCGUCAGCUCGUGUCGUGAGAUGUUGGGUUAAGUCCCGCAACGAGCGCAACCCUUAUUAUCAGUUGCCAGCAUUAAGUUGGGCACUCUGGUGAGACUGCCGGUGACAAACCGGAGGAAGGUGGGGAUGACGUCAAAUCAUCAUGCCCCUUAUGACCUGGGCUACACACGUGCUACAAUGGAUGGUACAACGAGUUGCGAACUCGCGAGAGUAAGCUAAUCUCUUAAAGCCAUUCUCAGUUCGGAUUGUAGGCUGCAACUCGCCUACAUGAAGUCGGAAUCGCUAGUAAUCGCGGAUCAGCAUGCCGCGGUGAAUACGUUCCCGGGCCUUGUACACACCGCCCGUCACACCAUGAGAGUUUGUAACACCCAAAGUCGGU